Long non-coding RNA from Alligator mississippiensis (American alligator), 621 nucleotides. RefSeq lists it as uncharacterized. The transcript has 2 exons. The record is from RefSeq and is a predicted model, not a curated record. NCBI's taxonomy places the organism in Eukaryota, Metazoa, Chordata, Crocodylia, Alligatoridae.
UUCCAUCCUAUAGCUUUCCACUUCCAAUUUUGCUUGUGUUUACUUUUUUCAGAGUAUGUCAGAGGUUGGAGGUGAGCAGAUUAAAAAAAAGAAAAAAGAAAACUCAUUUCUCAAAUAUUAAUCUCUUCUCAUCUCCAGCUGCAUGUAAGCUUUUGGAGGAUUGUGUUCAGAUAUGUGCAAGAGAAAUGUGUACAGAAGAUGUACAGGAAAGAGGUUGCCAAGAAGUAAGUUAUAAGACAAACAGAAGAGUGAACAUAAUCUAAACAUCUUAUGAAAGAAGAUAAGAUUUCAGUCAAAUAGGAAGAAUUUAUCACACAAGACAUCAAAACAAGGACAGGGUACUUUACAGGUCUAGAUUCCUCUGAAGAUAAGAAUUUGCAAACUAGCUUGAGGUUACUUAAGCCAGUUAGCCACAGCAAACCAGCAAACAUGUGCACAGAACUGCUGAAGUGCUCCAGAUGUUUUUUGUAUUUUUUUACAGGCUAAACCAAUUGUGUAGGACUGCUGAUGACCUCCAGCUUGUAAGAGAAGAGGUAUCCUUUGAAGUAAAGCUUCAGCAAACAUCUGACCAACUUGUCUUCAUUUCAGCAACUUCUGUGAAUUAAGUAGGUUGUAAACUAU